RNAcentral lists this ribosomal RNA (467 nucleotides) under uncultured bacterium. RNAcentral's name for it is "partial 16S ribosomal RNA". It matches the Rfam family "Bacterial small subunit ribosomal RNA", at positions 28 to 507 of the family's 1533-position model. The record is from RNAcentral.
GAUGAACGCUGGCGGCGCGCCUAACACAUGCAAGUCGAACGAUUAAAGCACCUUCGGGUGUGUAUAAAGUGGCGAACGGCUGAGUAACACGUGGGCAACCUGCCCCUUUCAUUGGGAUAGCCACGGGAAACCGUGGAUAAUACCGAAUACUUCGAGACUUCCGCAUGGAAGACUCGAGAAAGCUCCGGCGGAGAGGGAUGGGCCCGCGGCCUGUUAGCUUGUUGGUGGGGUAACGGCCUACCAAGGCAAUGAUGGGUAGCUGGGUUGAGAGACCGACCAGCCAGAUUGGGACUGAGACACGGCCCAGACUCCUACGGGAGGCAGCAGUGGGGAAUCUUGCACGAUGGGCGAGAGCCUGAUGCAGCGACGCCGCGUGCGGGAUGAAGGCCUUCGGGUUGUAAACCGCUUUCAGCAGGGACGAGGCGAAAGUGACGGUACCUGCAGAAGAAGCCCCGGCUAACUACGUG